Molecule: ribosomal RNA, 492 nt
Filed under: uncultured bacterium
Lineage: Bacteria
Description: partial 16S ribosomal RNA
Rfam family: Bacterial small subunit ribosomal RNA
Source: RNAcentral
AGUGAACGCUGGCGGUAGGCCUAACACAUGCAAGUCGAACGGCAGCACAGUAAGAGCUUGCUCUUACGGGUGGCGAGUGGCGGACGGGUGAGGAAUACAUCGGAAUCUACUUUUUCGUGGGGGGUAACGUAGGGAAACUUACGCUAAUACCGCAUACGACCUACGGGUGAAAGCAGGGGAUCUUCGGACCUUGCGCGAUUGACUGAGCCGAUGUCGGAUUAGCUAGUUGGCGGGGUAAAGGCCCACCAAGGCGACGAUCCGUAGCUGGUCUGAGAGGAUGAUCAGCCACACUGGAACUGAGACACGGUCCAGACUCCUACGGGAGGCAGCAGUGGGGAAUAUUGGACAAAGGGCGCAAGCCUGAUCCAGCCAUACCGCGUGGGUGAAGAAGGCCUUCGGGUUGUAAAGCCCUUUUGUUGGGAAAGAAAAGCAGCAGGUUAAUACCCCGCUGUUCUGACGGUACCCAAAGAAUAAGCACCGGCUAACUUCGUG